GUGGUCCGGCCCGCUGGGACCGAGGAGACUGGCGGGCCAUGGCAGGCUCCAGGCUCUGGCUCUCGCUGCUGCUGGCGGCAGCGUUCGCUGGGCCCGCCACGGCCCUGUGGCCUUGGCCCCAAUACAUCCAGACCUCCGACUGGCACUACACCAUCUCCCCGCACAGCUUCCAAUUCAAGUACCACGUCAGAUCGGCCGCGCAGUCGGGCUGCUCCGUCCUCGACGAGGCUUUCCAGCGCUACCGUAACCUGCUCUUCGGUUCCGAGUCUUGGCAACGUGUUGCCCUCACAGGAGAACAGCAAACAUUGGAGAAGCAGUCACUGGUUAUCCUUGUAGUCACUCCUGGAUGUGAGCAGCUUCCUUCUUUGGAGUCAGUGGAGAAUUACACCCUGACCAUAAACAAUGAGCAGUGUUUCCUUCUGUCUGAGACCGUUUGGGGAGCUCUUCGAGGUCUGGAGACUUUUAGCCAGCUUGUUUGGAGAUCUCCUGAGGGCACAUUCUUUAUCAACAAGACGGAGAUUGAGGACUUUCCUCGCUUCCCUCACCGGGGCUUGCUGUUGGACACAUCUCGGCACUAUCUCCCACUGCCUAGCAUCCUGGACACUCUGGAUGCCAUGGCAUACAAUAAGUUCAAUGUGUUCCACUGGCAUCUGGUCGACGACUCUUCCUUCCCGUACGAGAGCUUCGCUUUUCCAGAGCUCACCAGAAAGGGGUCCUACAACCCUGCCACCCACAUCUACACAGCACAGGAUGUGAAGGAGGUGAUUGAAUAUGCACGGCUUCGGGGGAUCCGUGUAUUGGCAGAAUUUGACACUCCUGGCCACACUCUGUCCUGGGGACAAGGUGUCUCUGGAUUAUUGACUCCUUGCUACUCUGGGUCUCAGCCCUCUGGUACCUUUGGACCAGUGAAUCCCAUUCUCAACAGUACCUAUGAGUUCAUGAACACAUUUUUCUUGGAGGUCAGCUCUGUAUUCCCGGAUUUUUAUCUUCACCUUGGAGGAGAUGAGGUUGAUUUCGCCUGCUGGAAGUCCAACCCAGAUGUCCAGGCCUUUAUGAAGAAGAAAGGCUUUGGUAAUGACUUCAAACAGCUGGAGUCCUUCUACAUCCAGACGCUGCUUGACAUCGUCUCUGCCUAUGGCAAGGGCUACGUGGUGUGGCAGGAGGUGUUUGAUAAUAAAGUAAAGGUUCGGCCAGACACAAUCAUCCAGGUAUGGCGAGAAGAAGUACCAGUAAGCUAUUUGAAGGAGCUGGCACUGAUCACCGAAGCCGGCUUCCGCGCUCUGCUUUCUGCCCCCUGGUACCUGAACCGCAUAAGUUAUGGCCCUGACUGGGAGGACUUCUACAGGGUGGAUCCCCUGUCCUUUGAAGGUAGUCCCGAGCAGAAGGCUCUGGUGAUUGGUGGAGAGGCCUGUAUGUGGGGAGAGUAUGUGGACAGCACAAACCUGGUCCCCAGGCUCUGGGAAUCCAGGGAAACCUGGUGCAUAUCCCCUUUCCUCCAGGCCCAGAGCAGGGGCUGUUGCUGAGAGGCUGUGGAGCAACAAGGUGGUGACUGACCCGGACUUUGCCUUUAAACGUUUGGCACACUUCCGCUGUGAGCUGCUGAGACGAGGUGUCCAGGCCCAGCCCCUCAGUGUAGGCUACUGUGAACAGGAGUUUGAACAAAUCUGAGCGAGCAACCCAGGCACCGAGGAGGGUGCUGGCCCUAGAAGAGUGAUGGUGGGGCCAGGCUCCCACUGUUUCCCGGCUGGGGGUCAGAGCCCCUUGCCCACGUGCCACUGCCUGGAGAGAACAGGGCUGGUGCUGUGCUGGCGUUCAAUAAAGAGUGAUGGUGACAUUUUUCAACCAUGAA
Molecule: RNA transcript, 1849 nt
Organism: Myotis lucifugus (little brown bat)
Lineage: Eukaryota; Metazoa; Chordata; Mammalia; Chiroptera; Vespertilionidae
Gene: HEXA
Gene name: hexosaminidase subunit alpha
Exons: 14
Source: RefSeq, a predicted model, not a curated record